GCUAGCUCUACCGUGCCAAGUUAUUAAGGUCGAUGUUCUCCUAGCUCGCGUUACUGAUGUGAGGAGUGUGUUCACUGCAUGCCCACCUAACGAAAACUAGAUAGAUCCUCUAGUAGUACCUCGGUGGCUAUGGCAAUCAGCUUCCUUGGUCUCCUGAUUACUUAGGAUCUGCAUAGUUUUCAUUUAGGGAAAAGAAAGGGAGGUUGUGGUAGCUAGUGCUCCUGUUAUUUACUGCUGUAACUGUGACUUGGUACUAUGUUGAUGGGUUUUGGGUUUUGUACUUUGAGUAGAUCCGCUGUUUGCAAGCUGCAAAAUGUGGACGAAUAAAGUCAGUAUGUCAAUUAGUACAUGUCAUGUCUUCUAUCACUACUAAUUAACCAGUAUGCCGAAUUCUGGUACCUGUCAUAUAUAUCACUAAUUAAGUUAGUUGAUUAAUCUUUGGAGCUCUUUCAUGGUCAGUAUGUCAAUUGCUGCCUGUCAUAUAUUUCCACCACUAUGCAGAGGCCGGGCUGCGUCCCUUUUCCAAAAUAUAUAUAUAUAUAUUUCCACCACUAGUUGGCCAGAAUGCCAAAUACUAGUACCUGCACUAUAUAUGUAUCACUAGUUAUGUCAGUAAGUUGAUUUCUAUCUGUCUUUAAGGGGGGAAAUAGUUUCAUUUUAUUUCUUUCUAUUCUAUGUUUUUUAUUUGCUUCCUCGGAGUGGUCCACUACAUGACAACGAUUUAUCCCUCGGGUGAUUAGAGGAGUUGGUACCAAUUGAUCAAAUUUGAAAUUAAACUUGGUGCAUGUAUUUUUCUACAAUUGUUUCGGCUUCUAAAUCUGUUCAAGAUUUAGUAUUUCUAAAAAGUCUGAGAACAACCGGUAUUUUUCCUUUUCAUGCGCGAGAAUUAACACGGGAUGAACAAAGUAUUACUACUCCCACCGUGUAAACAAAUAUAAGAGCAUUUAGAUCAUUAUUUUAAUGAUCUAAAGGGAGUACAACAUGGUGAGCGUAUCUAGAUCUCCAUGAGCAUGUUUGCAAAAAUUGACCAUGAAGUAGUUAACUCUCAGAUGACUUACACAAUUAUAUAUAUUUUUAGUAGAUUAAUUCAUUUUAUAGCAUGGUAUAAACAUUAUCUUAGAUUUCUAUAAAUAAUUUUGUAAAAUCACCCGACUUAAAUCUCAGCCCAUGAAGAAACUAAUGCUCUGUAUCUAUAUAGGUGUUACUUUUAUAGAAAAUAAUAAGCUAUUUUUUGUGGUAGCCAACAAUAUACAUAUCAAUAGGCCAUAGCGAGACAUUUUGCCUUGACUUAUGUACUAGGUCGGUGUUCUGUGAUGGCUUAAAUUUGAAUAUGUGGUGCUCUCUGAGGGUGCUUGCAAGACUAAUACGUAAAAGAAAAACCUGGUCACAUCCACACGCAUGUGUAUGUGACUACAUGACUAGUUAAUUUACCUUGGACAAACUAUCACAUGAACAUAUUUGAUCACAUGCACGUUUUCAUAUCUACCGAUAGAACACGUCUCGGAAAUAUAAGAGGUAUUAAUUAAAGAUAUGUAUAUAUCUUGUGACAGAUCUGCAACGGUACAUGUUCUGUAUAUUUCAUAAAACAUCACACCAUAUCAUCAAUAUAAAGACAAGUGCCAAAAGUGCAACUGAAAACUAAAAUAAAAGGUACUCCCUCCGUAAACUAAUAUAAGAGCGUUUAAAUCACUAAAGUAGUGAUCUAAACACUCUUAUAUUAGUUUACAGAGGGAGUACAAUGCUGGGGCAUCAGCUUAACAUUAUGCCCAUGCAUCCAAAUAAAAACAACAGCUAGCUCGCGGCAGGAGGGGCGGUGACAAUCGACGUGCCACGACAUGAAACUUCCUGAUGAGAUCAUCAAUUGCGUCGCGCUCCUCGUGGUUACUAAGUAUUCUCAAUUGCUGCAAAAAGAAACGCCGACUGCCGCCCAAAUAUGUUGUGUGAAAAUUUAAAUACGUGGUGCUCUGGGGGUGCUUGCAAGACUAGUUUGUAAAAAAAAAAAAAAACUGGUCACAUCCACCUAUGUGUAUGUGACUACAUGACUAGUUAAUUUACCUUGGACAAACUAUCAGAUGAACAUAUUUGAUCACAUGCAUUUUUUCCAUAUCUACCGAUAGAACCUGUCUGGGAAAUAUAAGAGACAUUAAUUAAAAUAUGUAUAUAUCUUGUGAUAGAUCUGCAACAGUACAUGUUCUGUAUAAUAUUUCAUAAAGCAUCACACCAUAUCACCAUAUAAAGACAAGUGUCCAAAGUACAACUGAAAACCAAAAAAGGGGUACAAUGCUGGGGCACCAGCUUAACAUUAUGCCCAUGCAUCCAAAUAAAAACCUCAGUUAGCUCGCGGCGGGAAGGAGUAGCACCAAUCAACGUGCCAUGACACGAAACUUCUCGAUGAGACCAUCAAUUGAGUCACGCUCCUGCUGCUUACUAAGUAUUCUCAAUUGCUGCAAAAAAUGCAAAGUUUAUAUAUGGCAUUAGAUAAGCGAUGCAAAGGAAUGUGUUCAAUGACAAGCUAUGCCGCCCAAACCAACCCACUAGAUUUUGCAGUCGCGGUUAGAGCUAUGCAUAAUUUCAAAGAAAUCAGGAAAAUUGCACGGGCUUUCUUUCAACACACCCAACAACUUCCUUGAGGCAACUCCAAAGGAACUGUGCAGUCACACACGUGAAUAUAUGUGGUCGAAGUCAUCAUCCACAUCACACAGGGGGCAACAACCAUCAUCAGGGCCACUGCGCUUAAGCACCCGCACCCCCGAGGGAAUCCGACUACAAACAAGCUGCCAAAGAAAGAUACAUAGUUUGAAGGGGAUUUUGACAUCCCAAAUCCGAGUCGGCUCAUUAGGUCCAGGGAGGUUGCAAUGGCUUGGUAGAGUGAUAAUGUCUACUACACACUUCUAUUCUUGUAGAUUUUGUUGAGCCUCCAAGCGCAGAGUUUUGUAGGACAAUAACAAAUUUCUCUGAAGUGGAUGACCUAACGCUUAUCAAUCUUUGGAAGGUGUAGGAUGAAUUUAUUCUCCUCUCAAGAACCCUGGAAUAGGGUACAAGAAUUCUCUUGUAUCGCCAACACACUUCAUACAAUUUUCAAUCAUAUAAGUGCACUAGUUUGGCGAAGAGAUUGAUAAAUUGGAUGAUCGGUAGAUAAUAUGGCUGGUGCAAAUAUUUCUAUAUUUUCUGAACAAUUAAUAACAACAAGAUAACAAGUAGCAUACGUGACUGAAAACUAGGUGCAAUGGUUGGACACAAAAUGUGGGGUGUGUAGCUUCACUACUGUCAAUUCUCAGCAUGGUAUCUUCAUUAAAAUACAUGAAUUAAUCUCAAAGAGUUCACUUUUAUUGGGUCAAUUUGGAUGAGAUCUCGCAGGUGCACAAAUAUAAAACCACCUCAAAGUUGACUUUCUAAUCUUAAUCUAUUGAACUACCCUAAUGUCAACACAUGCAUCCUCAGAAAUCAUACUGCAACACCACCAUAUGAUCUAUAUAGUUUAAUGUUUGUUUAACGAGUCACCCCAAUAUCACUACGGGUGUCUCCAGGGAUUAUACUAGAUGUGCAUUAUGUGAUCUCAUUAUCUCCUUAAGUUCAAGAAUAUAACAUGAACAAGACUCAAAUCAUAAAGGUACUCUUCACAAGAGGUACAUCAUGCCUUUCAAUUGAUCAUCAAUGCCCAAGAUCAUAAUCAUGGUGGCAAUUCAAAAGAUCAAGAGAGAGGGCAGAGUCGGCUCUAUGUUUCGAAAAGCCCUUGGGCGAGCUCGAUGACACACACACACACACAUACACACACACAAUGUGUGUGUGUGUGUCUUCAUUUGCAUAGUAUUAAGAGUAAACUUUAAACCGAACAUUUUGUUGGACAAUACCAUAUUAUGACAAAAAGUCUAAAAAGAUAGCAAAAUGAAACUAACAUGAUCAUAUGUCUCACCAUUUGGAUUUUCAUUACCAUCCGCAAGCCAUAGAUUUUUCCUACCCCAUAUUGUUAGCAUUGACAUCAUCCUCCAAACUUAUUUGCCCCUCGUAUUUGUACCAUCUUCAUUGACCCUAGUAUCAGAAAUUUUCUACCUGAGAUUAGUUUGUUGUUAUUUUUCUUCAUUGACAUCAACAUUGCUUGAAGAUGGAAAGUAGGUUUCUAAAGGAUUCAUCUGUGAUUGAAUUUUUAGUUCGCUUUGUUUUCUUUUUAUCCUUUUUUUCAUCACUAGAAAAAUGAUUCUUAGGCAACAUUCCAAGACUGACUAAUGUUCUAAAUUAUGAACAAAAAAGAGAAUACAAAGUAUAAGAAAUUUAUCGACCGCAAUCCUAAUCAUGUCAUGUACACUGAAAUUGGGGAUGGGUGAAUACAUACUUGUGAAAGACAAGGACACUAGAAGACUAGACUGAGUGGCUGCCGGCCUAGCCGGCCGACCAAGGCAGGAGCGCAACAUGGGCAAGACGGCAAGGGCGGUACAACACACAGCCGAGACAAGAAUCGCUAGCGACAGUUGCCGGCAACGAGAGUGACGAAACAAUCAUGAUCACUAUAAAAUUUGCUCUAUUCAGUGAUAUAAACCCUGGUGACGAAACAGGAACGUCGCCUAAAAUAAUUUUCUGUGAUGGUCCACCAUCAUGAGACGUUUUCCUCCUGAGGCAGCGCCCUCGGUAACUUUGGCGACAUUCUGGCCCGAUUUUGGGCGAUGAUAUUGGGUGUCAUUAGGCAUGUCCAUUCUCCGGUACGGUUUGUAGUGUCACAGUAAAUCUUGAGCAUGCCAAUGUCUUGACAUAUAAUAAGAAAAAUAAUUGAUUGUUUCUGAAGCUGACUAAUCUAGUGUUGAAAGUCUUUGUAGAUAUUUUCUGAAAGUAGUAAAUCUACUUUCUGAUAGUGUUCCUGAAAGUUUUGGCGAACUCCUACACUAUCUAAUUUAAUUUUAAACGGGAAAAAAAUGUGUUCUUCCUGUGGCCGAAUGGAGGAAGUGGAGCAAGAUGUACAUACUGCAUUGCCAGUAUGGCAUUGAUCAGUUUUCGAUCAAACUGUCGGUACUUGUUUACUUAUAGGACGUCUAGUAGAUUCUACCGGUCCGCACGGGUCAUCUUGUCGCCUGACGAAGGGAAAGGCCACGUUUCAGUGCUGCAGUGCAUCGAUUAAUGGCGGCAGGCGCGUGCCAACUGCCAUCGGCCAUUGAUGCCACUUUUCCCCUUCGCCCGCCAACUUUUGCCGCCACUUUUUCCCGCCCGGCGACCACCGCCCGUGGCUAUAAGACCCUCACCAUGACCAAACAACUCAUCCUUUAUCUUCACAACGUCCGCAUUCAUCCACAUUGCCAUGGCCAAAUAGAUGACCGCCUCCAUGCCUAGUUAGCUCAUUCUCUUUCAGCCUCCCCCAACCCACUCCAUUGUCAUAUCUGAAUAUUCACUAUGUCCUUGAUGCUUAGCAUCCAUGAGCGGCCGGUCUUGGCACCAGUCUCGAAGGAGAUGGUCGUGAAGGAAGAACCCUUCACCAUCUUGUCACGUUGACACGAUACUAGCGCUCAUUGCUCUUUCAGGCACCACCAGCUCGCAUGUUGGAUUGCGUAAUGGAGCCAAGUGAGGUGCAGAGAAUGCUUCAUUCGGCUCCAUUACGCGGAGCAACAUGCACACUUGGUGCGCAGUUGAGGAGGCAGGUGGUUACAUGUGCAUGCCCCAUGUGCAGCAUUCACCGUCGUGGUGACAAGCACAACAACUAGUGCAGUCACUUCUUUAGGUUGGUUGACGGGGGUUGUUACAUCUUUGAUGGGCCAAAAAAACUAUUAUAGUCUUUUCCGGCGAUGUUCAUUCGAUGGGAGGACAUCUUAACAUCUACUACAAAUUGUAUGCAUGUAUUCAUGAGCAUCCGUGUCUGUACUGUCUUAAAAAAACUAGUGCAGUAAGUGUGUUUAGUAAAAAAAAUGUAGCAAAGUUUGUAUGUGCUGCAUAAGCUAUUGUGUAUAGCCUGAGAGUGCUUAAUUUACUUUCCUAUAAUACUCCCAGCAAAGUAUGACAGUGAUUGAAUAUUUAUCCAUUUAUGCAAUUCAUAUUCAUAAAGUGCUAAAACAUUUGCUCAUAAUAUUUGUCAAACUAUUGACAAAAUUAGAAACCCUUUAGUUUUUAUUUUUUUGAAGGAAAGGGACCAUGUCCCCCGAUCCAUUUUAUAAAUGAAACCAAGCAUUUAGUAAUAGAAAAACAAGCACCUUACAACUAAAGGUGAAGAAAAACAAAAUUACAGUCUUAUGGCAGAAUGCCUAAAAACGCUCUAGUCGCAGCCUAGAAGCAAAUAGUCAAAAAAGGGAGGAAAAAUUAUUACAUCAUUGUCACUAAUAGUGCUCAGUGAAGGGGAAGUUUGCCUUUUUUUAAUCAGGCAACAAACAUGUAGAGCGCAUAGAGGGCUCUCCUAGCCUUCAUCAGGGUGCUGUUGCAGGCUAUGGAGACCACCUUGAUUCAGUAUAGAGGCUGGGCUGUCCACAACGGCCCGUGCAACAAGCUUUCCUGGAGAAGUGGGGGAGCCAAAUCCUCCUUGCUCAGCACUUGCCAUAUCCAACUUGUCCCAGUUCAGCCACCUUGAUGGCUUAGAAAACCUUUAUACAUACAAACAUAUCACACGUAAGUUAAUAUACAUAUACAAACACUAAUGUUCUCUGGAAUUUAGAAAUGUAAGGAAGGGAAUUCGUAGGCAAACGUAAGAACAUAUAUGAUGUGAUUCAGAUUAUUGUUUGCUUGCAAGUGAUUUAUUGCUAUUGCUGAUUUAUUAUAUUACCGUUGAUUGCUUUCCCCGGGAUUUCUUUCCGCAGAAACGAGGAUCUGGGGGGUUGGUACACACAAUUGCAUACAUAUUGGAAAUAUGCUUCUCCACAAUUGCAUACAUAUUGGAACAAGAAUUACACAAUUUUAAAAUACUUCAUUAUCCAAACAAGCAACACAUUUGAAAGAUGAUAGUAAUAUGUAAUUUGAAACAUAUGAGUUCCUUGUCCUCAUUAUUCAAUGAUUUGCCUGAUGCGCGACCUUUUCCCACAUCAGCCGUAGAGCUCCUUCUCUUCUGCCUCGAAUUUGUUGAGGUGCUCAUUCGCGCGUCGCUGACGCGCCACCGCAAAGCCAAUGGUCAAAUAAUCAGGCGCCCACAGGGUACUCUUCCUUGCUGGCAACGUACACCCGAUCUUUCAACUUCCACACGUAGAUGAGUCACAUGGAGCCUCUGGCAUCAGGGGCCAUCAAAUUGGCAUCUUCCUCCACCCUUGGCACGAGCAUCCCACCAGAGAUCCAUUCCAAUUUCUUCGUCGCGGGCCACAUGGGCCUCCCAGGCCGCCAAACGCGCGGCUCGCUUCUCCUCCUCGGCCUUCAUUGUUGCCUGCUACUUGUGAGUUGCGUUAGAAUUUCCUCCAACAAGAGAGGAUGAUGCAGUACAUUAUAGAUAAGUACUUUUCUCAGUUAAGAACCAAUGUUAUCGAUCCAGUAGGAGAACCACGCAAGACCUCGUGAACAAUACCUACACACAAAAGAACAAAUACUUGCACCCGACGCGAUCAAGGGGUUCUCAAUCCCUUGGCGGUUAAUUGCAAGGAUCAAGUCUAAUAAUGGUAAAUAGAUAAAUUAAAACAUAAAAUAAAAUAAUGGUAAAUAAAUUGCAGCAAGGUAUUUUUAGUUUUUUAUAUAUGAUAAAGAUAGACCCAGGGUCCAUAGUUUUCUCUAGAGGCUUCUCUCUCGAAGAAAAAACAUACAGUGGGUAAAUUUUUUACUGUUGGGCAAUUGGUAGGAAAGCACAUAGUUAUGACGAUAUCCAAGGCAAUGAUCAGGUAUAUAGACAUCACGUCCUAGACAAGUAGACCGACUCCUGCAUGCAUCUACUACUAUUACACUGAUACGUCUCCGUCGUAUCUAUAAAUUUUGAUUGUUUCAUGCCAAUAUUUUACAACUUUCAUAUACUUUUGGCAACAUUUUAUAUCAUUUUUUGGGACUAACAUAUUGAUCCAGUGCCCAGUGCCAGUUCCUGUUUGUUGCAUGUUUUUUGUUUCGCUGAAAAUCCAUAUCAAACGGAGUCCAAACGCGAUAAAAAUUUACGGAGAUUUUUUUGGAAUAUAUGUGAUUUUUGGGAAGCGGAAUCAACACGAGACGAUGCCCGAGGGGCCACAAGCCCUUGAGGCACGCCCCCUACCUAGGGCGCGGCCAGGGGGCUUGUGUCCACCCCGAAGGUCGGUUGGAGAUAUCCUUUGGACGCAAGGAAGCUAUACCUGGAUAAAACCGUGUUAAAAUUUCAACCCCAUCGGAGUUACGGAUCUAUGGGAAUUUAAGAAACGGUGAAAGGCCAAAAUCUGGGAACGCGAAACAGAAGAGAAACGGAGAGACAAAUCCAAUCUCGGAGGGGCUCUUGCCCCUCCGCCGCCAUGGAGGCCAUGGACCAGAAGGAAAACCCUCCUCCCAUCUAGGGGGAGUUCAAGGAGGAAGAAGAAGGAGGGGGGCUCUCUCCCCCUCUCUCCCGGUGGCGCCGGAACGCCGCCGGGGCAAUCAUUGUGUGACGGCGAUCUACACCAACAACUCCAUCAUGUUCACCAACAUUUUCAUCACCUCCCCUCAUCUAUAUUCAGCGGUCCACUCUCCCGCAACCCGUUGUACCCUCUAAUUGAACAUGGUGCUUUAUGCUUCAUAUUAUUAUCCAAUGAUGUGUUGCCAUCCUAUGAUGUUUGAGUAGAUUUUUGUUGUACUAUCGGUGAUUGGUGAAUUGCUAUGAUUGGUUUAAUUUGCUUGUAAUUAUGUUGAUGUCCUUUGGUGCCCAUCACAUGAGCGCGCGUGUGGAUCACACCAUAGGGUUAGUUGUAUAUUGAAAGGACUAUGUAUUGGAGGGCAAGGGUGACAACAGCUUCAACCUAGCAUAGAAAUUGAUGCAUACGGGAUUGAAAGGGGACCAAUAUAACUUAAGGCUAUGGUUGGGUUUUACCUUAAUGAAUGACAGUAGUUGCGGAUGCUUGCUGGAGUUCCAAUCAUAAGUGCAUAGAAUUCCAAGUAAGGGAUGACAUGCUAGCAGUGGCCUCUCCCACAUAAAAACUUGAUAUCGGUCUAAUAACGUAGUCAAUUGCUUAGGGACAAUUACGCAACUCCUACCACCACUUUUCCACACUCGCCAUACUUACUUAAUUGUUUAUUUAUCUAAACAACCCGUAGUUUUAUUUACAUGCUCUUUGUUAUCUUGCAAAUCUAUCCUACAACACCUACAAAGUACUUCUAGUUUCAUACUUGUUCUAGGUAAAGCGAACAUUAAGCGUGCGUAGAGUUGUAUUGGUAGUCGAUAGAACUUGAGGGAAUAUUUGUUCUACCUUUAGCUCCUCGUUGGGUUCGACACUCUUACUUAUAUCGAAAGAGGCUACAACUGAACCACUACACUUGUGGGUUAUCAAGACCUUUUUCUGGUGCCGUUGCCGGGGAGCAACAGCAUGGGGUGAAUAUUCUCGUGUGUACUUGUUUGCUUUAUUGCUAAGUAGAUUUUAUUUGCUGUUCUAAGUUGUUCUCUAUCUUUAGUUAUGGAUAUGUAACACAAAAUACCAAAAAAAAUUAGGUGUACUUGCUACUCAUGGAGAUGGGAACCUCCUAAAACCCUCGAUGCUCGUUAUGUGAAAAUAUUAACACUACUUUGAUAAUCCUCAGAAACCCCCUUCCACUUGAUAAUGGGAGACACGUUUCAUCAACGUGAAUGCUUUAGGGAUUAUCGCUUGACUCUGAAAGGGAAAUUGUUAUGUGAUCAAAUUCAUAUGUUGCAUUGGCAUGCUUGGAAUUUAUGUUGGCGAUAUGAUUAUACUUGUUGCUCUAGGAUGAAGGCUCCACACCUUCCCUUUUCAUGUAGAUAAUGAAACCUUGGCUUCUUAUGCUAAUGGUACAUAUGAUUACUAUGAUGUGCAACAAACAGAAGAAUUCGUAGCUUUUAAGGGUGCUUAUUAAAUUGAAUCUUUGUUUAAAAAGUGUGAAAAGUAUGAUAAUGUUGUUUACAGACCUGAAAAUUUUGCUAUACAUAAAUAUUGCUAUGAGAUAUAAUGCUGAUAUUAAUGAGUUUAUUGAGAAAGUCUCCAUUAUCGAAGAAGAGACUAAUAUUUUGCAGGAAACUAUGGAAGAAGAAAUUCCUGACACUGCGAGCUCAUUAGAUGAAAAAGAUGAGGAGGAGAGUGAAGAACAAAAGGAGGAAGCGCGGAUUGAUCACCCGUUCCCACCUUCUAAUGAGAGUAAUUCUUUAUCCCAUACAUUGUUUAGUUUCCCUUCAUGCUUAUGAAGGAUGAAUGCUAUGAUGAUUGCUAUGAUCCCUUGGAUUUGUUUGAUAUAUCCCUUUUUGAUGAACUUGAUGCUUGCUAUGCUUGUGGCAUGAUGCCAAUAUGAAUUAUGCUUACGGAGAUGAACUUGCUAUAGUUCCUUAUGUUAAGAAUGAAAUUGUUGCUAUUGCACCCACCCAUGAUAGUCCUAUUAUCUUUUUGAAUUCUCCCAACUACACUAUAUCGGAGAAAUUUGCGCUUAUUAAGGAUUAUACUGAUGGGGUGCGUUCUACUAUUGCACAUGAUGAUUAUAAUAUAGUAUGCAUGUGCUUGCUGCUCCUACUUGCAACUAUUAUGAGAGAGGAACUACAUCUCCACCUCUCUAUGUUUCCAAUACGAUAAAAUUGCAAGAAACUGUUUAUGCUAUGUAUCGGCCAUUACUAUAUGUGCAUAAAUUAUUCUUUUAUAACGUGCCGAUGCAUAGGAAGAGAGUUAGACUUCGUUGUUUCAUGAUAUAUAUUACUUUGUGCUCAAUACUAAAUUACAAAUCAUUGUCAAUUAAAAUAGGCUUUGAUAUACCUUUGGGUCCGGGUGGAUCAAUUACUUGAGCACUAUAUGCCUAGCUUAAUGGCUUUAAAGAAAGCGCUGCCAAGGACACAAUCCGGAAGUUUUAGAGUGUCACUUAUUUCUGUUGUGUGCUUUUAUAAAGUUUAAAAACAAAAAACAUAGAGGGGAACCUAAAACUUUUCAAAAAAGAAAAGCGAAAGUAAUAAAGACGACCAUCAUUGAAGUGGGGGAGCUCCUUGAACUUUGUUCAUGCCCAUGGAAACUUUGCAAAUCUUGAAUUACAGAAACUUUUCAACAAAAAUAAUCAUCCCCUUGUACAAAUACAUUGUAUUACAAAAAUAAUGUGCCAAGAUUUGCCUUUAGGAUGAUUAGAUUGCUUGUUUGGUUUGUGCAGUGCGAAAACAGAAACUUUGGCUGUAGUCCAUGAUUUUUAGUUUUUUACUGAAACAUCAAAAGUUUCUGAAACUUUUACAUAGUAAUGCUAAGCAAAUUAUUUAUUUUUUCCUAAUUUUUCAGAUUUUUUGGAGUUAUAGAAGUAUGGUCAAUGUUCAGAUUGCUACAGACUGUUCUCUUUUUGACAGAUUCUGUUUUUGAUGCAUUGUCUUGCAUGUUUUGAUGGAACUGUGGAUUUUAUCAUUGGUAUAAGCCAUGAAGAAGUUAUAAUACAGUAGGUGUAAUGCAAAAAUCAAAUAUUAAUGGGUUUGCAACAGUACUUAAAGUGGUGAUUUGCUUUAUUAUACUAACGGAUCUCACGAGGGUUGUCACACCUAUUGUUUUGUAACAUGUCAUUUGCAUUCGUAAAGCAUGAAAAUUAGGACCAACAAAAACUUUUGCAUUUUAUUUGGCUUUUUGUUUGAGUUGGAUUUCUGUUUGUGGUUUCAUGUGCUCAUGAAGCCAUAUUCUAGCUCCACCUUCUAUACUUUGUUUCCUUGCUCUAAACUUUUGCCCCAAUGAUCAUGCCAUGUGUAUAGUACAAUAUAGUAUUUUCUUACAAAAUAAUUUGGCCAAAAAGUAUUUUCUUAAUUUAGUUUUCCAAAAACCCCUGAAUUGAGGUUUGCACUACAAGUACUUGAUUUGGGGUAUGAAAAAUCUUUCAAAGAGUAUGUUUGACUCCUAUUAGGUAUAGGACUCCCCCAAACCACAAAAAUUUAUUUUUAAAAGUUAUUUUUGCUAUUUUAUUUAAGGGAUUUUUCUUUAGGCGAGAAAUGGUCUUUAAUAGGUUAAAAUUAUUUUAGUGCUUCAAAAAUAUUUCUGAAAAUUUAGGAAAACUCAGUGGACAUAUAUUGUCCAUAUAUAAGAGUUUCUGCACAUGGUCAUGUUCAAAAUAUUGGUUAAAUCCCCCAAAACCCCUUUCUGGAUAUUUCAAGCUUUUGAAAUAUUUACAAAGGAAAUAUUCUCUAAAAAUUUCCAAGAAAAUUCUAGCAAGUCACACAUGCCUAAUGUGAUGAUCUUGCAAAGUACAUCCCAAUCAAAACAGUUUUGGUUCACAAAAGUGCCCCAAAACCCUCUCUGUCCAGAUUCAAGUUUAAACAGCUUUGCAUUGCCAACCUUUUGCAAUUGACCUCAAACCUUGUGGACAUGCUCAAAUGCCCUAAUGAUGACACUGCACCAAGUGGUGCAUCAAGGGGAAUAGUUUUGCAUGACUAGAUCUUGGUAAACUCAUUUAUUUGGAUUUCUAGGGUUUACAGAAGUUGCAUUGGCAACUUUUGCCCAAAUGGACUCAAUCUUGGUGGAACCUCUUAUUUACUCAUGCCACUUGACCCUGUCAAGCCUCAUGCCAAGAGGAGUUCACCUUCAUGCCCAAACCAGCAACAAACACCUUCCGCCAUUUUUCUAAAAACACCACUUUGACCUCUUCCACUAAUCUCCAUGAGUUCCCCUUUUACCACAGCCCCUCCUAGACCUCUUCUACCUCCAGUAACUCUCCCCUGGGAUUUUCUCAAUGAUUGAUGGGUAAAACUCCCCCAUUUACCCCCCCGGACAGCAGCUUCUCUCUCUUUCUCACCUCCCUCCUCACUCCGGUGGCCAUCCAAGUCUUCCCCCACAUUCUUUACUCCUCCCUAGAGCUACCAGACAUGCUCGGCCGUGCCCACCUUGCCAAAAAUAUGGCCAUGCCAGCCAUACAAGCGCUCUGGACCAUGCUACAGUGCGCUCCCGCACUGUAGCCGCCCCCCUGCCAACCACCUCCGGCCACCUCGCACUACUAGGGAAAACCUUAUACACAGAAUGUUACCAGUAGCGCUUGUUAAAAUGAGGCGCUACUGCUACUUAGCAGUAGCGCGUCUGGCAGAACCGAGCUACUGUUAGCCGCUUAGCAGUAGCGCGGCAGGAACAGAAAGCGCUACUACUAUAAUUGCCACACCGUUCCCGAUGUGCUAGGUAUAGUAGUAGCGGCCUUGUACGAACAGCGCUACUACUACAGAUUUUAGCAGUAACACGUUUUUCCUCCCCACGCUACAGUUAAAGCUAUUUUCACCUAACCCCCUGCGCGGCCUGAUUCCCUCUCCUCUGCUUCCUCCCCCAAUUCUCCUCUACUAUUCCUCGUCGCCUCCGCCUCACCGCCGUCUCCCCCGCCCCGCCUCGCCAUCGUCUCCCCCGACCCCGCCUCGCUGCCGUCUCUCCCGACCCCGCCUUGCCGCCGUCUCCCUCGACCCGCCUCGCCGCCGUCUCCCCCGACCCCGCCUCGCCGCCGUCUCCCCCGACCCCGCCUCGCCGCGCCUCGGUGCCGCCGUCUCCCCCAACCCCAUCUCUCUCCCAGCCCUCUGUAAGCACUCUCCCCUUCCGAUCCCUCUUCUCUGCUUAGUAUGAACCCUAGCUAUUUAGUGCUACUUAGUAUGAACCGUAGGCUAUUUUUAGUGCUAGUUAGUUAAUUACUUAGAUGGUAAUUAGGGUAGUAGUUCCUAGGUACUAAUUAGUUAGUAAGAACUAGGUACUAAUUAGGUACUAGAAUAUUUUUAGUAAGAACUUGUUUAUUUUUAGUAAGAGCUAGUUGAAUUAAUAGAACUAGUUAGUAAGAACUUGUUUCUAUUUUUUAGUUAAAGCAAUUUUUCCUGCCUCGACGUCGACGAUGCCUAUGCCGCAUCCUCGUCGUCGAGUCGGCGGAGGACGACACCUGCUUGACCAGAUCGGCCAUGUCCGGGACUGGGCUCCGCCGGGGUGGUACUGGGAGGCGCUACCUACCGGGGGGCGCAGGUUGGUGAGGAGCCAGCCUGUCGUUGACCCGAAUCUUCUUUGGUGGCGGUCGCGUGGGCCAGUGAUGAUCCAGAGGCUCGAGGACUCCAUGGAGGUGGUGCGUCACCGUGUCAGUGAGGAGGACGCGCACGUCCGUCGCUACUUGUUUGCGUUGGAGCACAGGCCGUUUUCCAAUACCUGGCAGGUUCUCCGGGGAUCUCACUGGAGCUAUGAUCCCGUGAUGGUUCCUUCUCUGUGGGUGUCCACCAACCGCGCCGAUACCCGUCGUGUGCUAGAGUUUUAGUUGUAUUAGUGAUGUUAUAUGUAUGACACUAUUCGUGAUGUAUUAGUGAUAAUAUUCGACGAUGUACGGACGCAUGAGAUGAUUUACUUUUGCUUAUUGAAUGCAUGCUAAUUUGAGUCCUAUAAGAUAUUUUGAAAUGUAUAUCUUGUGUUGCUCAAUAUCCAAGUGGCCGGUCAUGUUUGCAGGUUACACCUCUGAGUGGCCUAUGUUUUGCCGGAGUGUUGACUCAUUUCCGUUUCGGCAAAUUUCAGGCGCUCGAUAUGUCCUAUUUUAGCAAAAGGUCAUGCCGGAUUUUUUCGUGAAUUUUGGCAUGACUUGUGCCAAAAAAUGUAGGAAAUAUCGAGUGCCCCGGAUUUGUGUGUUGUUUAUCUUGGUAUUUGUCUUCGAUCGAUUUUCAAUUAAUGUUUUAACUAUGAACAUAGGAAAUGUCUGAUGACGAAAAGGAUUUCGGUAUUUGCAAAUACUGCAAAGACGAGCGCGGCCUGUGCGACGGAAUCUUCCUAGAUGAUGAUAGGCGCUCUAGCAUCAAGCUGGACGAGAACUUCGAAGUGGAUACAGUAAGUCACAAUGACAAGUCUUUUUUCGUAAUUAAGCAUGACAUCUGCUUCAUUUGCUUCAACUUAUAUUUUUUUACUAUUCUACUACCGUAUCCCCUGCCAUGCAAGAGUUUUUGUAUUGGAUAAGAUAGGUUUCAGUCAUAGUAUGGAGGAAAAGAAAGUUUACUUGAAGACUGAGCAUGGUUAUAUUUUCCAUGCAAAAUUAUACAAUUCAGACGACUACACCUAUUUUGGAUGCAAAACAUGGCGAGCACUAUGCAAGACUUAUGCAUUUGAGCCUGAUAUGGUUAUCACCUUUGAUAUUUGUCCGGAAGAUGAUAUUGAAGGUAAUACCGACAUCUGGGUCGAUGUGCAGACGCCUCCAGUUAUACCAUUAUGUAAGUUUCUCAACCAUAUUUAUGUCUUUGAUAUUGUUUAUUCAAAAAUAGUUGACAACUAAUUUGUAUUGUCAGCUUAUUUCGGUGCAAGCAAACAUGUCUAGCGCUUGGUAGACAGGACGUUAUACUGUCCUGGGGCUGAACUCAACUACGAGGAGCUCAGUCAUUAUGUUUCAUGGCUUGAGGAUCUUGAUACUGUCAAGACAAAUUUUCUUCCUGCAUUUAGAAAUGUUAGUACUGAAAAUGUGCGACCAAUAGUGUUCGUAAUGAACUACGGUCACAUCUAUUUAGGAAGGAUGGUAAGAUUUUUACUAUUUGUCAUCAGUGCAUCUUUUCCAUACAUUAUUUUUGAAGCUAAACUUCAUUGCUAAGUAUGUUACCGUACGAUGUUCUUCAAUAGGGGAUCCCGAUGAAUGUUGUGCCUUAUGAGAUCGAGACUAAAGGUACCAUGAGUAUUAUCAGCUUACGGCCAAGAUAUCCUACAGAUUACUUUAGUGCAUUCAAGAUUAGCGACGGAUGCUUAAUAGUGCAAGACUGGACCAAAUAUGUGAUGGGGGAGCACAGAGAAGUACUAGGGGGCAGAAAACAGAUGUGCUACCCACGAUUAGGAGACAGGUUCAUCUGCAUGCUCCAGUUUGAUCAAGGAGGAGAGCUAUACAUGUUUUAUGUUAUUUUACCUAAGAGAGAGCAACAGGAGUGAUUAGCUAGCUAGAAAUGAGUUUGAGGAUGAUGAUGUGCUACACUAUUACUAUGAUGAUAAAAUAGCUAGUGUUGGUGGUAAUGACUAUGAUGAUUAUUAUUAGCUAGUGUUAGUGGUGAUUAAAUAAAUACUGUUGGUGGUAAUGACUAUGAUGAUGAUUAAAUAGCUUGUGCUGGUGGAUUAGAUUCAAGUGGAGGCAACAUGUGGUGCACAUCGAAAGUACUACUAGUCCAAACUAGAUCAAGUUUGGAUUAGUAGUAUACUUUUGACAUGCACCACAUAUUGCCUCCACUUGAACCUAAUCCACCUUCAUUUGACACACUGUUAUGGACAUAAUGAUGUAAACCUCAUAACUGGUAUUGUACCAAUAUUUGUACGAUGGCGCAUAAAUACACUAAAAAAAAUACUAGUAGCGAUGGACAGAAAACACGCUGCAAGUAGUUACCUUAGUAGUAGCGUGGUUCUGAAUAAAUACUACAGCUAUUUGUCCUAGCAGUAGCGCGUGCGGGCACGCGUUACUGCUAAGCAAUAGCUGUAGCGCCUUAUUAGUAGCGCGGCCUCCCGUGCUACUAGUGGACACAAAACCCGUGCUACUGCUAGGGUUUUCCCUAGUAGUGUCGGGCCUCCCCAGCGCGCCCGACAAUGCGUCUCGGCGUCUGCAGCACACUACGCCCUGCCCCCUCUUCCUUCUCCCUCCUCCUGCCCCUGCUCGCACGCACGCCGGCCGCCCGAGAGUGCUAGUGAACGGGCUCACACGCGCGGUGCCCCUGGCCCUCUUCUUGCUCUCUCUCUCUCUUCACCCACUCGCUCUAGACUAACCCCACGAGCACCCCAGACACGUACAAUCGGGCUCCCGUGACCCAUGGCGACGUCAACGAGCUCGCCGGCGCACGAGUCCUCGGUGGACCAUCGCCCACCUAUAUAUUGGCCUCCCCGUGCCGUUCUCUCCCCACCACUCGCUCUCUACACCAUCCAGUCCACCCCAUGCACCUGUAGUUCGUCUCCAGGAGCACCCGGGCUCGAGAUCGAGCUCGAGCUUCACCGCUUCGGUUCGCUGGAGUUCGCGAGUUACAGGCUUCCCCCGCUCCUCCUCUGCCCAAAUCUGAAACUGCCACCUCCCACUGAUCAUUUCCCCUCUCUCCCCGCCUCAUUUGCAGCCGGAAUCGACCGGAACGACCACUGCCCCAUGCUCCUCUGCCAUGCCUCCUCGUCGCUGGCGAACCAGGCAGUUCCGGCGAUGUCCAUUGUGUUACGGGGCUAACCCGGUGUAGGCCGAUCUUUCACAUUUGGAGUGGGAUCCCUCGAAGAACACGAUGAACACGGGGAAGAACGGGGAGAAAUCACAAGGGGAAACACUCAAGAACAAGUCCAAAUCACACAUCCACUAGACAAUCACACACACAAGAUCACAAGGUACAUGAACAACAAAGGGAAAGAUACAAGGUAAGGUUCAUCUCCAAGAGGAGGUCUUGAUGAUAUCCUAGAUGGAUCUUCCCACAAGGGGGUCUUGAUGAUAUCCCGCAUGAUCUUCUCACAUGGAGGUCUUGAACUCCAUGGGAGUGGUAGUCUCUCUCUCUCAAGAGUAUAGGUAGGAGCAAAGCUCACCUAAGAAUGAGCUAUCAUAUUUGCUAACCCUAACUAGAGGAAGGGGAUGGAGUAUAUAUAGGCUAGUCCACGAAGGGGUAAGUGAGGAGGGGAUACAUGGGCCUUUGGCCCGACUCUGCGCGUAGGCAGGCGCCGGAUGUCCGGGCUGGGGGCCGGAUGUCCGGGCUGGUGAGGUCGGCGUCGGUGCUCUCUGGAUAGGGGCGUCGGAUUUCCGGGCUUAUGGUCGGAUGUCCGGGCUGUCGGGAGGCGCCGGAUGUCCGGGCUUGCGGGCCGGAUGUCCGGGGCCUGUAGGUACUUGGUGGCUGGGCGGCUGCUGUGGGUGAUGCUCCAGGGGCCGGAUGUCCGGGGUCCUGGCCGGAUGUUCGGGUCCUGGGGGUUGUCUUCGUCUUCUUUCGUUGUCUCUUCCAGGCUUCCCUUGCGGAUGUUGUAGUUGUUCCUUGGCGCUUGCACUCCUCCUCAACAUCCGUGAAGCUCCGACAAUACCUAUGCGUGCACACGGGAUAAGUGUCAAGUAGUAUACCAUCCUCGAAGGGGUCAAGUGAGCACGUAUAAAGGAGAAGAUUCACCUUUGAGUAUGUGAAGUAGAGGUCGCACGUGUCACUUGCCAAACGGACUCUUGACAUGGUGAUGACCGUAGGAUGCUCCACAUCAUCCCCUCCCCCUUGGAAAAGAUCCGACUUCGGAUCGAAAACCAAAUCACCAUGGGAAAGAGAUGGCGGUGCCGUGUCGAAGUGGUCGGUCACCAAGCACUCAUCAUCUUGAAACUCAAAAUGGGCACUCUCCAAUGUCGCACCGUCUAGUGAUUCCUUCAAAAGAAGCAAGAACAACAAACACUUGGAAAAACAAAUGUGGUUAGCGUUAGUGCAAAACCAAGCAUUCAAGAGGUGAUUCACCAAACAAGUGUCGUCAUCAAGCAUAGCAUCGGGUGUGACAAAGGAUUGUGACAUGGCAUGUAAGCAUAUCAAUUGAGCACAAGCAAAGAUAUCAUGGGGACAAGUAUGCAAAUGUGAGGUAGUGAUGCAAAUAUGUGUGAGUAGAGAAUAAGCAUCUACCUCAAGUUCAUAGCAAGCAUUCACAAAUUGCUCAAUGAAAGGUCUAUGGUAGGCAUAAGAAUCAUUCACAACACCAAAUAAAAUGAAGUGUCUAAACACAUGGGACAAGUGCAAGACAAUCCAAGCAUAACGUGCAUAGGGUGUAGCGAAUAUAGUGUGGCACUCAACACAAUAGAAAGAGAAAUUGUUCAUCAUGUGUGAGGCAAUCAAGUCAAGCAUGUGAGAAGCAAUGGGACAUGGCAUAUGUGAAGAAAUGAUAUUGGUGCAACCAACCAUAUGAUAGUAGCAACACAAGGUAUAUAUGUCAUGAAGCAUGGAAAUGUGGCAAUCAAAGGUGAAAGCUAUAUCUCGAACAUGCGUGCAAAUGGUGCAAGCAACACAUGAAGUAUGAUCCACAAUAUCCAAGCUCAAGAAGGAUGUCACCUUGAAAGCAUUUCCUUGUGCAUUCUUCACAUUGUCGAAGUGGUAGGAAGUAUGGUGUAGAAGCGAGUCGUGGUAGAAUAUAUGAGGCUCGCUCUCAAGAGCUCGAAUGGUCAACUCACGUGAAGUGGAAGUCGACACAAAGUCUAAGUAUCCUACACAUGCACAAAACAAAACAAAGAACGUAUACGCAUGGUAGAUAAACACAUCAUCCAUCAUGAUGGUUCUCAUCUUUUGCACAAAACCAUUAGAAGCACAAGUGCAUGAAUAAUAUGAUGCAACAAUGGCUAAAUUCAUGGCACUAGGUAUAUGGUGCAAAGAAGUAAGACAAGCAUGCUUCACAAGAAUUAUGUCAAAAUCUCCAAAUAUAUGCGAGAAUGCUAUGGGGGCAAUCUCAUGAGCAAGAAGAGAAUCAUUGUUACACUCAAUACAUGGCAAAUCUAGCAUGAGAGAUGCAACACAUGGAGAUAUAUGACAAGAAGCAAUAUGAUUCAUGUGCAAAGCAUAUAGAUGGUUGUCAUCAAACGCAUGAAAUGAGCAAGUAUGAAUCAUUGGUGAUGCAACAUAAGCAAGCAUAGUAAUCAAGUCGUGGAAACUAGUGGAGCGAAGAUGCAACACACUAGAAUAAAUCAUGGCAAUCAUGUCAUGUGAGCAAAUAACAGGCAUAGGGAAUGCACAUGACAUAUCGCAAGCACAAACAUAAAGCAAGAUGAAAGUAUCAUCAUAGGAAUGGUGCACAAAAGGAACAUGGCAAUAACAAGCAAUAUCUCCACCAAGCUGGCAAAUACACAUACAAGUACUAGAAUCAAUCAUCAUGUGUAAUGCAAAGCAUGGGUCACAAAUGCAUGUCAAAGGCAUAGGAAUGAGCAUAUCAUGCAAAGUGAACAUGGCAAGAUGGGCAUAUGAUAUGUCAUGGACAAUAACCCAUAGCCAAGUGAGGGCCAUGUAGAAGAAAUGUGUGAAGUCUUUGCGCGAAGAGAGCGGUGGGAAAGACAAUCCAUGGCUUCCCAAAUCAUCGUUGCUCUCUAGAGCUCGUUUUGUCAACUCGUGGGAUUGAGAGGUUGACAAGUAUUCAUGGGUACCUACACGAAAGAGACAAAAACCAAAGAAAUUGUGCGCAUGGUAAAUGUACACAUCAUCCAUCAUGAUGUGUAUGUGCACAUGUGAGUUAGCACAAGAUAAGCAUCGCUCAAAGAAAUUUGAUGCAUGGUAUAAGAACAUGUCAUCCAUCAUGAAAGAAUAGUUAUUGUGUAUACACGAUGGGGACACAAAUUGAGAAUGCAAGUAUAUGACACAUCAAUAUCAUGUUUAAUCAUGGGGAGCAUAUGGUGCACACAAGUAGUGGGAUCAUGCAAUGAAUGGGAUGGAUCAAAAUCUCCUAAAAUGCAUGAGGAAACUAUGGGGGUCUCCUCAUGAGCAAUAUCGUAAACAUCAUAUGGUGAAAAUGGACAACAUCCAAAACAAUGCAUAUCCGAAGCUAGGAUGUCAUGGCAUGGCAUAUAAGAUAAAUUAUGCAAAGGUAGCAUAUCAAUAGCAUCACAAGAAAACAAAUGCCAAUAACCAUGGGCUUGUCAUCUAUGCCAUAUGUGCAAAUUGGGUUUAUUUUAAUGGCAUAUGCAUAGUCACUAUGAAGAGAUUGCAAAUAAGACAUAUGGUUGAUCUCAUGCAUAGCAUAUGACAAGUCAAGCGGAUUAUCAAACAUGAUGUGACCUAAAGAAUUGUCACAAGAAAUCCUAUGUAACAUGACAUCACUACUAAUAGACUCCACAAGAGAAUCAUCAUACACAUCAUAAAUGGGCAAAUCAUCGCAUGGGGAAAUCAUACUAGCAUGAAGCAUGGUACUAGGUGGAUCAACAUCAUGCAAGCAAUCAAUGUCACGAAUGUCCACUAGUGGGACUAGAGCAUCACCUUCACCUAUGUUACCUUUUCCAUUCCACUCAAGUGGUGUAGGUGAGGUGGGAAAGACCAAAUGGUGGUCAUCAUCAUCAACUUGAUGGAACCUUGUGGGGUGUGCAUCAUAUUCCACCAUGGCCACCGUCUUGUCCAAAGGAAGGACGAAGUCGUCGAGUAUCGGCACGUCAUCAUAAAUGGGACCUAGCAUGAAAUGAGAAGACACAAUAGAGGUAGAGGUCAAGUUGUUAGAAAUGCAAAUGGCCUCACUAGACCUAUCAACUAUCUCACUUUCUCUAUGUGGUGGUUCACUCACUCCCUCGAAGUAGGUGCACUCAAAGUCACAUAUGGUGGAGUCACUCAUCUCACCCAAGUGGUGGGGUUUGUGGUUCUCCUCACAUGAGAAUUGUGGCAACUCAUCAUAUAUGGGGCUAGUGGUGAAGUCACUCUCACUCUCAAUAUGGUGGCACAAGUCACUCAAGUCAUCAUACGUCGCCGUGGUCGAGGUGAAAUACUCAACCAUCUCAUCGCCGUCGCCAUGGAUGAAGGCCGAAGAUGGCAUAUCAUCACUCUCCUCCAUGACCGAAGGGAAAAUCCCAUGCUCGAUCAUCUCGUCACCGUCGCCGUUGAUGAAGGCCGAAGAUGGCACAUCAUCACUCUCGCCUCCUAAGAUGGAAGCAUCAUCCUUGCUCGCCACCUUGUCCCUUGCCUCCAAAGCUUGGUCCUUGAAGGUCUCCGUAGUCAUACUUGUCGCCGCACCAUCUUGAAAAAGAGUUAAGGUAGACUCGGCAUCAUCAAUGCCACAAAGAGAGAUGGCGGUGAAGUCGCAUUUGGUAGCAUCGUCUUGGAGCUUGUCGGGCUUGGACAUCGUGGUGGUACUAGCCUCAUGCUUGUCGUAGAGCUUGGUCACCGCGAAGUUUGCUUGGGGUGGAGAAGCCUUGGCCUUCAUGAGUUCUUGUUCCUCCUUGAGAGCACCAAUGUAGUAGUCGUCGAUGGAGUUGUAGUUCUCGAGGAAGAUGGUCUUGGAGAUGUUGUUGUGCAAUCCCAUCAUGAAGUGGAACUUCAUCGAAAUGGGGUCGUCCACGCCGGCUCGUCGCAAGGCAAUCUUCAUCUCCUUGAAGUACUUGUCGAUGGACUUGGAUCCUUGGAUGGUAUUCUCCAAUUGGCGUCGAAGUUGUUCCGUGUAGGUUGGAGGCACGAACUCUCACCGCAAAGCUCUCUUCGUCUUGGCCCAACUCAUGUCGUAGUACUCUGAAGGUGUGUGAAGCCACCAUGUCGAGGCGUAGUCGUGGAAAUUUCUUGUGGCACACUUCACUUGAUCUUCGGGAGGAACUUGAUGUAGCUUGAGGUAGUCGUCCAUUAAGCGCUCCCACUCGAGAUACUCCUCGGGUUCAUGAGUCCCAUAGAAAGGAAUCGCAUGGUCGAUGUCGAGGUCGUAGUAGUUCGUGGAAGUCGUGAACUUGAGCUUGGGGAGCUUCUCUUGAGCGUAGCCUUGAGGUUCUUGUUGGCGAAGAUGCCGUAUGUCCGUAGGCGAAGAUGCCUUGAAGUCGCUUGGCGAAGAUGCCAAGGGAGAUGGUGAAGUUGUUGAGCGGUUGUUGGUGUUGAGCUCUUGACCUUCACGUUCUUGUUGGUGAUAGUGUCGAUGCCGAUGUGAUCUUGCCGGGGAUGGUAGCUCGGAAGCAUGUGCUCUUGAGCGUCUUCUCGAAGAUGAGGAAGAUCGCUUGUAGGACUUGAUGAGGGCUUUGAUCUCCUCCAUUUGAGCUUGCAUCUUGGCGUUGGAGUUGUUGUUCGUGGCAUCGAACUCGUCGUUGUUGUUCUAGACCGAAGGUGAAAUGCCUUGCCUAUCCAUCACAAGACUCGAGUAGAGGUGAGUAGGAAAUGAGAUAAAAAAUACCAAGUUACCUUUUCCCAAAGUUGAGGAUGUAUCCCGUUUCACUCAAUGUGAGAUGAAAGAAUAGUGGAAUUGGUACCAGACUUGUUCACUCACACCUAUCAAGUAAAGCUUAUGGUAGAGCUCGGUGAGGAUAGUGGCACAAAAAUUUGAUGCAAAAUGUUAGCAAGAGUCAAUAAUGUUGAAAGAGAUUCACAAAUUCGCAAGCGAAACAAGUAGACCAAUAGCAAAGAAUGGCACACGGAAACGCACACACGGAUAGAUAAAUGGGGUCGUGCAACCAAGGAAUGAGCACAAAAUGUGGAAUCCAUGGAAAACGCUCGUGUUGCACAACUCAAGAGAGACGCUAGCACGAUUGCUGAAUAGGCGGAUACGACACUUGUGCACAACCUAUGAUAUGCAAAAUGGAUAAACUUUCUAUCCCAAGUAUGCUAUGUAUGUAUGGUUCCCGGUGUUUCUCACACAAUGAUCCAAGAUGAUCAAAUAUGAUACCAUAUGCUAUAUUGUGAUGCUAUGGCUAUUGCUUACAAGCUCUUUGCUUACUCUUUUUCUUUGCUUAAAAGCUUUAUUCUCUUUUUUUUGAUAUGGCCAAUUUUUGCACAAUGCACAAACCAAGAUAGCAAUUAUAUAUAUGCGGGAACAAGCUUGUGACACAAUAGAUGAUAUGAUGAUACCAAUAUGAUAUGGUAUGUAUGCUAUGGGAAGUAUGAUCACUAAUGUGCACAAGUCACGUUGCCGGCAAUACUCAAAUGGCUAGUCUCGAUAGGCAAGUAACGCAAAAUGGGCUAAGGGGGUUAUCAAUGCAAUUGCAAGGGUAAUAUACAAUGGUGUUGUCGAGGUUACCGUCCUUGAUGAUGAUGAGUGGCAGUGUUUUUGAUGUAGAUACCAAGAUGAUGGAGACUCGUCCCUAAGUAGCCGAAACACCUUAGGAAACGGAAAAACCGCGAACUCAAAAUCUCAAACGUCAAAUGUCAAAGUGGUGGUAGCGGAAAGCGGUGGUGGUUUGCACUUGGCAAUGCAGAAGUGAAAUGAUUGGCUAUACACGGUGUAAGAGUUGGAAGAACGCGGUCCCUAAGUAGCCGAAACACCUUAGGAGACACAACUCACAACACAAACAAAAUUGGGUUAAGUUGGGGUGGCGGAAGUGUAUGGUGGUCACGCCUAUGCGGAAGUAUAGGUGGUGGUUGAUGAAGAAGCAAUCGUCCCUAAGUAGCCGAAACACCUUAGGAGACUCGAAUCACUACUCAAGCAACCACUAAUUCUAUGGGGAACAAAAUGGGUUAGGUUGCGGAAGUCGGUGGUGGCUAUGCGGAUGAUAUGGUGGAGGGCCUAGGCAAACUUGCCAAAUUUUGGAAAUUUUGAUGGAGUAAAAUUGUGUUGGUGGUAUCUUUGUGAGAUGGGGGAUGUCAAUAGCUUCAAAACGAGCUAAAGAACGUCAAAAUCGGACUCCGGAUGAAUUAGUUAUGGUCAAAACAGUGAAACGGAAAAAGCUGAAAUCCCAGGGGCCGGACAUCCGGGGCUCGGGCCGGAUUUCCGGGACCUGAAGUCCAGAACCGCGCGCGAAAAUGCGCUCCAGGAGCCGGAUGUCCGGGCUAAUGGCCGGAUUUCCGGGAUGGCCGGAUGUCCGGGGGUCGGGCCGGAUGUCCGGGCUCCAAAUCCGAGGAUGAACUCGAGGAACUCGAUUUUGGGGCGGAAGUUGAUGAUUUCGGGGGCAAAAUUGGAGAGAUUUCGUGGAUAGAAAGGUGGGGAAACAUGGGGGAAAGCUAGAUCCACUUGAAACCAAGCAAAUCCACGAAUCAAAAUGAACAAAACAUCAUCAAACCAACAAAUCACAAAAAAAUUUGGGGGCUAUUUUUGGUGGGGAUUUUCGGAUUUAGGACGAAAUCAAGCUAGAAAACAAAGGGUAGGGAGUCCAAAUACGUGAUAAACGUGGCUCAUGAUACCAUGUUACGGGGCUAACCCGGUGUAGGCCGAUCUUUCACGUUUGGAGUGGGAUCCCUCGAAGAACACGAUGAACACGGGGAAGAACGGGGAGAAAUCACAAGGGGAAACACUCAAGAACAAGUCCAAGUCACACAUCCACUAGACAAUCAAACACACAAGAUCACAAGGUACAUGAACAACAAAGGGAAAGAUACAAGGUAAGGUUCAUCUCCAAGAGAAGGUCUUGAUGAUAUCCUAGAUGGAUCUUCCCACAAGGGGGUCUUGAUGAUAUCCCGCAGGAUCUUCUCACAUGGAGGUCUUGAACUCCAUGGGAGUGGUAGUCUCUCUCUCUCUCAAGAGUAGAGGUAGGAGCAAAGCUCACCUAAGAAUGAGCUAUCAUAUUUGCUAACCCUAACUAGAGGAAGGGGAUGGAGUAUAUAUAGGCUAGUCCACGAAGGGGUAAGUGAGGAGGGGAUACAUGGGCCUUUGGCCCGACUCUGCGCGCAGGCAGGCGCCGGAUGUCCGGGCUGGGGGCCGGAUGUCCGGGCAUUCGCGGGAGGCCGGAUGUUUGGGGCAUGGGCCGGAUGUCCGGGCUGGUGAGGUCGGCGUCGAUGCUCUCUGGAUAGGGGUGUCGGAUUUCUGGGCUUAUGGCCGGAUGUCCGGGCUGUCGGGAGGCGCCGGAUAUCCGGGCUUGCGGGCCGGAUGUCCGGGGCCUGUAGGUACUUGGCGGCUGGGCGGCUGCUGUGGGUGAUGCUCCAGGGGCCGGAUGUCCGGGGUCCUGGCCAGAUGUCCAGGUCCUGGGGGUUGUCUCCGUCUUCUUUCGUCGUCGCUUCCAGGCUUCCCUUGCGGAUGGUGUAGUUGUUCCUUGGCGCUUGCACUCCUCCUCAACAUCCGUGAAGCUCCGACAAUACCUAUGCAUGCACACGGGAGAAGUGUCAAGUAGUAUACCAUCCUCGAAGGGGUCAAGUCAGCACGUAUAAAGGAGAAGAUUCACCAUUGAGUAUGUGAAGUAGAGGUCGCACAUGUCACUUGCCAAACGGACUCUUGACAUGGUGAUGACCGUAGGAUGCUCCGCAUCACAUUGCCACCACCUGAACGGCGACUCCAUGUUGAGUCCAACCGUGCCGUCAACUCACUCUGCCGUUCCCUGCAUCGUCGCCGCUGAGCUCGCCGGCCCUCAGGUCGCGAGGUUAGUGAUGACAGGCGGGCACCGCAUGUCAUCCUCACCUCCCCCUCGCCUCCCUCUCUCUCACUGGUGCCUAGGCCCCGCCCGUUAGGUUCAAACUUGGCACGCACGCCGCUCGGCUCGCCCGGGUCGAAUCCCUUCUGGGCCUUUGCACUGCGGCUGCUCUGGCCCAGUUGCACAGUGCCCUUUCUCCUUUUUCUUUUCUGUGUAUUUUCAAAAUAUUCCACAGGAUAAAAUAUUUAUCCAAAUGCAAUUAUUCCAACUCCUAAAAUCUUAGAAUAAUCCCACCUAUUUAUUGAUGUAACUUUCAUACAUAUCCAUCAAACUUUUCUGCACUGUUCAAAUUUGGGCAUUUAAAUCCUUCUUUGAAAAUCUGUUACUCUGUCCCUUUAGCCUCAAAUCCAAAACUAAGAAUUUUCCCCUUCUUAGUUUUCACCCUAGUAUUUAACAAAAAUAAGUUGACAUUUUUCUGAGCACUUUGGUUUUUCUGUUUUACUAUUGCCUUAUUUUCUCAUUGUUGUUUUGCGGUGAUAGAUUGCAUUGUUGACGAAGGAGUUGGACCAGAAGACUUUGAAGACCCCUUAGACUUUUCUGAGCCAGGCAAGUAGCCCUUUGACCAUUUCUAUGAACCCUUUUUAAAUGCAUGUCAUAUAGCACUUUUUAUCGCUACGUUGGAAUCAUAAUGAGGUGAUGACCACCUUGGUGGGUUGCCUCUGAUACUUUCCUCGUUGGUACUUGCAUGGUGCAUAACCCUACCUUUCUAUGAAGGUGAUGCGGGUGGGAGUAGAUAGGAUGCAAAGUAGUGGCUACGCAAAUGGGAUGGGUAUAUGCAUGGUGAUGGAGACAAAAGUAUCUUUUUAAAAGACUUAUCAAAUACCCCGUCGGGUGCCACUAAUGCCCGAGGGAGAUGCUGAGCUAAGUAACCACUUGAUGACGAAGUGGUGUACCGAGGCAAGUGUGUGUGUUGCUUUUGAAAAUGGAUUGUUUUAAGUUGCGACCGUUACUCCAACCUUACAUGCGCAACCACUCUACCCUUAUAUGGGAAAGGGAAUUAUUGAUUACCUAGACCAUUACUAGCAUGGUGCCCGCAUUACUAGUGACGGGAGUGACACGAGGUCACUCUCGGGACGGUGUCAUGCUUGGAUAGGCGGCCAUGACUGUUUUUACAGGGCACCAGACACACCGUUGGUACCCCGUGCUUAUGGUUGGUGAUGAAUAUGGGAGCCUGGAUCCACAAAAUUUAUGAUGUGAAAUGUUGGGCAUGAGGGUUGUUACCAAUCGUGUGGACUCUAUGUUAGUCGCGGCUGGGGAAAGGUAGUGACUGGGUGCUUCCCCCGAGUACUUGAGGUACUGCUGGAUUGUGGUUGACACGAAAGCUUCCCGGAUCUUGUGGGUAAAGUGUGCAACCUCUGCAGAGUGUAAAACUAUUCGAAUAGCCGUGUCCACGGUCAAGGAUAGUUGGGUAACCGCUCUUGGGCUACGUCCACCUGUUUACAAAACAUUGUGAGUAUGUACGGUUAAGUGGUGAGAACUACCCAGGUCACGUCCAAGGACUUGGCAUGAUAAUUAAGUUGGAUUGUUUCCAACUCUAUUUAUGUUGAUAUCUGUAACCUGUUCUCAAGGUUACUAGAAAUUCUCAUGAUGUAUGUCAUACAUGUUGUUGAACAUGUCAUAGCUCUUAAAACUAGCUUUCUACAAAAAUUUACCUAUAUCAUGCAUGGUUGUACCUUGAACCAAAACAUGGGUUGCUUGCGAGUACAUUCAAAGUACUCAUUGGCUUGCCACUGGUUAUUUAAUUGGCCAGGCAUGGAAGAACAUGAUUUUGAGGAAUUUGGCGACGAACAUGCAAACUAGGACAUUUUCCUGUGAGAAUCCCUGCAGGGUUAAGUGAUAUGUCUCCAACGUAUCUAUAAUUUUUGAUUGUUGCGCGCUAUUAUAUUAUCUGUUUUGUAUGUUUAAUGGGCUUUAUUAUGCACUUUUAUAUUAUUUUUGGGACUAACCUAUUAACCGGAGGCCCAGUGCAAAUUGCUGUUUUUUGCCUAUUUUAGUGUUUCGCAGAAAAGGAAUAUCAAACGGAGUCCAAACGGAAUGAAAACUUCGGGAGAAUCAUUUUUGGAACAAACGCAAUCCAAGAGACUUGGAGUGGACGUCAAGGAAGCAACGAGUCGGCCACGAGGUAGGAGGGCGCGCCCCCACCCUCAUGGGCCCCUCGUGGCUCCACCGACCUACUUCUUUCACCUAUAUAUACUCAUAUACCCCGAAAACAUCCAGGAGCACCACGAAACCCUAUUUCCACCGCCGCAACCUUCUGUACCCGUGAGAUUUCAUCUUGGGGCCUUUUCGAUGCUCCACCGGAGGGGGAAUCGAUCACGGAGGGCUUCUACAUCAACACCAUAGCCUCUCCGAUGAUGUGUGAGUAGUUUACCAUAGACCUUCAAGUCCAUAGUUAUUAGCUAGAUGGCUUCUUCUCUCUCUUUGGAUCUCAAUACAAAGUUCUCCUCGAUCUUCUUGGAGAUCUAUUCGAUGUAAUACUUUUUCGGUGUGUUUGUCGAGAUCCGAUGAAUUGUGGGUUUAUGAUCAAGAUUAUCUAUGAACAAUAUUUGAUUCUUCUCUGAAUUCUUAUAUGUAUGAUUUGAUACAUUUGCAAGUCUCUUCGAAUUCUCAGUUUGGUUCGGCCUACUAGAUUGAUCUUUUUUGCAAUAGGAGAAGUGCUUAGCUUUGGGUUCAAUCUUGCGGUGUCCUUUCCCAAUGAUAGCAAGGGCAGCAAGGCACGUAUUGUAUUGUUGCAAUCGAGGACAAAAAGAUGGGGUUUAUAUAAUAUUGCUUGAGUUAUCCCUCUACAUCAUGUCAUCUUGCUUAAUGCCUUACUCUGUUCUUAUGAACUUAAUACUCUAGAUGCAUGCUAGAUAGUGGUCGAUGUGUGGAGUAAUAGUAGUAGAUGCAGAAUCGUUUCGAUCUACUUGCCACGGACGUGAUGACUAUAUACAUGAUCAUGCCUAGAUAUUCUCAUAACUAUGCUCUUUUCUAUCAAUUGUUCGACAGUAAUUUGUUCACCCACCGUAACAUAUGCUAUCUUGAGAGAAGCUACUAGAGAAACCUAUGGCCCCCGGGUCUCUUUUCCAUCAUAUUAUAUCUCUUUUAUUUACAUUGCAUCUCGUUUACUAUUUUGCAAUCUUUACUUUUCAAUCUAUACAACAAAAAUAUCAAAAAUCUUUAUCUUCUUAUCUCUAUCAGAUCUCACUUCUGCAAGUGGCCGUGAAGGGAUUGACAACCCCUUUAUCACGUUGGUUGCAAGGUUCUUAUUUGUUUGUGCAGGUACAAGGCGACUUGCGUGUAACCUCCUACUGGAUUGAUACCUUGGUUCUCAAAAACCGUGGGAAAUACUUAUGCUACUUUACUGCAUCGCCCUUUCCUCUUCAAGGGAAAACCGACACAUGCUCAAGAGGUAGCAAGAAGGAUUUCUAGCACCGUUGCCGGGGAGGCUUACGCCAAGUCAAGUCAAGAUUUGAUCUCUCGACAACUCGUCGAUUUCUGGCAUCAUUGCCGGAAAGAUCUACGCACAAGUAAAGACAUACCAAGUACCCAUCACAAACUCUUAUCCUUCGCAUUACAUUAUUUGCAAUUUGCCUCUCGUUUUCCCCUCCCCCACUUCACCCUUGCCGUUUUAUUCGCCCUUUUUCCGUUCGUCUCUUUUUGCCUGCUUCUUGUGUGCUUGUGUGUUGGAUUGUUUAUCACUAUGGCUCAAGAAAAUACUAAAUUCUGUGAUUUUUCCAAUACCAACAACAAUGAUUUUCUUAGCACUCUGAUUGCUCCUAUUACCGAUGCUCAAUCUUGCGAAAUUAAUGCUACUUUAUUGAAUCUUGUCAUGAAAGAUCAAUUCUCUGGCCUUCUUAGUGAAGAUGCCGAUAUACAUCUAAACAACUUUGUUGAUUUGUGCGAUAUGCAAAAGAAGAGAGAUGUGGAUAAUGAUAUUGUUAAAUUGAAGUUAUUUCCGUUUUCGCUUAGAGAUCGUGCUAAAACUUGGUUCUCUUCUCUGCCUAAAAAUAGUAUUGAUUCAUGGAGUAAGUGCAAAGAUGCUUUUAUCUCUAAGUAUUUUCCUCCCGCUAAGAUCAUCUCUCUUAGAAAUGAUAUUAUGAAUUUUAAGCAACUUGAUCAUGAGCAUGUUGCACAAGCUUGGGAGAGGAUGAAACUAAUGAUACGUAAUUGCCCUACACAUGGUUUGAAUUUAUGGAUGAUUAUACAAAAAAUUUACGCUGGAUUGAAUUUUGCUCUAGAAAUCUUUUAGAUUCGGCCACGGGAGGCACUUUUAUGGAAAUCACUUUAGGAGAAGCUACUAAACUCCUAGAUAGUAUUAUGGUUAAUUAUUCUCAAUGGCACACCGAAAGAUCUACUAGUAAAAAGGUUCAUGCAAUUGAAGAGAUCAAUGAUUUGAGUGGAAAGAUGGAUGAACUUAUGAAAUUGUUUACUAAUAAGAGUGUUUCUUAUGAUCCUAAUGAUAUUCCCUUAUCCACUUUGAUUGAGAAUAAUAAUGAAUCUAUGGAUGUGAAUUUUGUUGGUAGGAACAAUUUUGGUAACAACACGGAUAGAGGAAACUUUAAUUCUAGGCCAUUCCCUAGUAAUUCCUCCAAUAAUUAUGGUAAUUCCUACAACAAUUCUUAUGGAAAUUUCAAUAAGAUUCCAUCUGAUUUUGAGACUAAUGUUAAAGAAUUUAUGAUUUCGCAAAAGAAUUUCAAUGCUUUGCUUGAAGAAAAAUUGCCUAAGAUUGAUGAGUUGGCUAGGAACGUGGAUAGGAUUUCUCUUGAAGCUGAUUCUUUGAAACUUAGAUCUAUUCCACCUAAGCAUGAUAUCAAUGAGUCUCUCAAAGCCAUGGGAAUUUCCAUUGAUGAGUGCAAACAAAGAACCGCUAGGAUGCGUGCUAAAAAGGAUUGCUUUGUGAAAGCGUGUUCUUCUAGUUUUCAUGAUAAUAAGGAUGAAGAUCUGAAGGUGAUUGAUGUGUCUCCUAUUAAAUCUUUGUUUUCCAAUAUGAAUCUUGAUAAAGAAGGGACUGGAGAUGAGUCAACUUUAGCUGAAAGGCUUCCCAAUGAUUCGGUGUUUUUAGAUCUUGAUGCAAAAAUUGGUAAAACUGGGAUUGAAGCGGUCAAAACUUUACAUAGUAAUGAACCCACUAUUUUGGAUUUCAAGGAAUUUAAUUAUGAUAAUUGCUCUUCGAUAGAUUGUAUUUCCUUGUUGCAAUCCGUGCUAAAUUCUCCUCAUGCUUAUAGUCAAAAUAAAGCUUUUACCAAACAUAUCGUUGAUGCUUUAAUGCAAUCUUAUGAAGAAAAACUUGAAUUAGAAGUUUCUAUCCCUAGAAAACUUUAUGACGAGAGGGAACCUACUAUUAAAAUUAAGAUUAAAAAUCAUGAAUGCUGUGAUUUGGGUGCUAGUGUUUCCACGAUUCCUAAAACUUUGCGUGAUAUGCUAGGUUUCCAUGAAUUUGAUGAUUGUUCUUUAAAUUUGCAUCUUGCGGAUUCCACCAUUAAGAAACCUAUGGGAAGGAUUAAUGAUGUUCUUAUUGUUGCAAAUAGGAAUUAUGUGCCCAUAGAUUUCAUUGUCCUUGAUAUAGAUUGUAAUCCUUCAUGUCCUAUUAUUCUUGGUAGACCUUUCCUUAGAACGAUUGGUGCAAUUAUUGAUAUGAAAGCAGGAAAUAUUAGAUUCCAAUUUCCAUUACGGAAAGGCAUGGAGCACUUUCCUAGGAAGAAAAUUAAAUUACCUUAUGAAUCUAUUAUGAGAGCCACUUAUGAAUGGAAUACCAAAGAUGGUAAUACUAGAUCUAUUCUUAUUUUUUUAUGCCUAGCCUGGGGCGUUAAACGAUAGCGCUUGUUGGGAGGCAACCCAAUUUUAUUUUUGUUCUUUACUUUUUGUUCCUGUUUAGUAAUAAAUAAUUCAUCUAGCCUCUUGUUAGAUGUGGUUUUGUGUUUUAAUUAGUGUUCGUGCCAAGUAAAACCUUUAGGAUAACCUACAGUGAUAGUUAAUUUGAUCUUGCUGAAAAAUAGAAACUUUUGCGCACACGAGAUUAGUUUUCAUAAAUCACAGAAACGUGAUUUUCAGUUGAUUAUUUUUGUAGAAGAUUAAUAACCAAAUUACCUAGGACUUCCUAAUUUGGUCGAAUAUUUGGGGUUACAGAAGUAUUCGAGAGUUGCAGAUUCCUACAGAUUGUUCUGUUUUUGACAGAUUCUGUUUUUCGUGUGUUGUUUGCUUAUUUUGAUGAAUCUAUGGCUAGUAUCGGGGGGUUGAUACGUCUCCAACGUAUCUAUAAUUUUUGAUUGGUCCAUGCUAUUAUAUUACCCCUUUUGGAUGUUUAUGGGCUUUAUUUUACACAUUUAUAUCAUUUUUGGGACUAACCUACUAGCCGGAGGCCCAGCCCGUAUUGCUGUUUUUUUUGCCUAUUUCAGUAUUUUGAAGAAAAUGAAUAUUAAACGGAGUCCAAACAGAAUGAAACCUUUGGGAGCGUGAUUUUUGUAACGAACGUGAUCCGGAGAACUUGGAGUGCAAGUCAAGAAGCAAAUAAGGCGGCCAGGAGAUAGGAGGGCGCGCCCCCUGUCUCCUGGGCCCCUUGAGCGGCCACCGACGUACUUCUUCCUCCUAUAUAUACCUACGUACCCCGAAAACAUCCAGGGAACCAACGAAAAACAAUUUCCACUACCGUAACCUUCUGUAUCCGCGAGAUCCCAUCUUGGAGCCUUCGCCGGCGCUCCGCCGGAGGGGGAAUCGACCAUGGAGGGCUUCUACAUCAACACCAUAGCCCCUCCGAUGAGUUGUGAGUAGUUUACCAUAGACCUUCGGGUCCAUAGUUAUUAGCUAGAUGGCUUCUUCUCUCUUUUUGGAUCUCAAUACAAUGUUCUUCCCCUCUCUUGUGGAGAUCUAUUCGAUGUAAACUCUUUUUGCGGUGUGUUUGUCGAGAUCCAAUGAAUUGUGAGUUUAUGAUCAAGUUUAUCUAUGAGAAAUAUUUGAAUCUCCUCUGAAUUCUUUUAUGUAUGAUUGAGUUAUCUUUGCAAGUCUCUUUGAAUUAUCAGUUUGGUUUGGCCUACUAGAUUGAUCUUUCUUGCCAUGGGAGAAGUGCUUAGCUUUGGGUUCAAUCUUGAGGUGUCCUUACCCAAUGACAGAAAGGGUUGCAAGGCACGUAUUGUAUUGUUGCCAUCUAGGAUAAAAAGAUGGGGUUUAUAUCAUAUUGCUUGAGUUUAUCCCUCUACAUCAUGUCAUCUUUCUUAAAGCGUUACUUUGUUCUUAUGAACUUAAUACUCUAGAUGCAUGCUGGAUAGCGGUCGAUGUGUGGAGUAAUAGUAGUAGAUGCAGGCAGGAGUCGGUCUACUUGUCACGGAUGUGAUGCCUAUUUACAUGAUCAUGCCUAGAUAAUCUCAUAAUUAUUCGCUUUUCUAUCAAUUGCUUGACAGUAAUUUGUUCACCCAUCGUAAUACUUAUGCUAUCUUGAGAGAAGCCACUAGUGAAACCUAUGGCCCCCGGGUCAAUCUUUUAUCAUAUAAGCUUUCAAUCUUCUUUUAUUUGCAUCUUUAGUUUUUGCAUCUAUAUUAUAAAAUACCAAAAAUAUAUUUAUCUUAUCAUACUAUCUCUAUCAGAUCUCACUUUUGCAAGUGGCCGUGAAGGGAUUGACAACCCCUUUAUUGCAUCGGUUGCGAGUUCUUUGUUUGCUUGUGUAGGUGCGUGGGACUUUUGAGGAGCCUCCUACUGGAUUGAUACCUUUGUUCUCAAAAACUGAGGGAAAUACUUACGCUACUAUUGCUGCAUCACCCUUUCCUCUUCAAGGAAAACCAACGCAAGCUCAAGACGUAGCAAGAAGGAUUUCUGGCGCCGUUGCCGGGGAGGUCUUUGCUCAAGUCAAGACAUACCAAGUACCCAUCACAAACUCAUCUCCCUCGCAUUUACAUUAUUUGCCCAUUGCCUCUCGUUUUUCUCUCCCCCACUUCAUCCUUGCCGUUUUAUUCGCCCUCUCUUUCCCAAUCUUCUCUCUCUUUUUUCGCUUGCCUUUUUCUGUUUUCUUGUGUGUUGUAUUACUUGUUGCCAUGGCACAAGAUAAGACCAAAUUGUGUGAUUUCUCCAAUACCAAUAAUAAUGAUUUCCUUUGUACUCCGAUUGCUCCUCUUAAUGAUGUUGAGUCUUGUGAAAUCAAUACUGCUUUGCUAAAUCUUGUUAUGAAAGAUCAAUUCGCCGGCCUUCCUAGUGAAGAUGCCGCUACUCAUCUAAACAACUUUGUUGAUUUCUGUGAUAUGCAAAAGAAGAAAGAUAUGGAUAAUGACAUUGUUAAAUUGAAGUUAUUUCCGUUUUCACAGAGAGAUCGUGCUAAAGUUUGGUUUUCGUCUUUGCCUAAAAAUAGUAUUGAUUCUUGGAACAAGUGCAAAGAUGCUUUUAUCUCUAAGUAUUUUCCUCCCGCUAAGAUUAUCACUAUUAGGAACGAUAUUAUGAAUUUCAAACAACUUUAUCAUGAGCAUGUUGCCCAAUCUUGGGAAAGAAUGAAAUUGAUGAUUCGCAAUUGCCCUACUCAUGGUUUGAAUUUAUGGAUGAUCAUACAAAAAUUUUAUGCUGGUUUGAACUUUGCUUCUAGAAAUCUCUUAGAUUCGGCCGCGGGAGGCACGUUUAUGGAAAUCACGUGAGGAGAUGCUACAAAACUUCUUGAUAAUAUUAUGGCUAAUUAUUCUCAAUGGCACACCGAAAGAUCUACUAGUAAAAAAGUGCAUGCUAUAGAAGAAAUCAAUGUUUUGAGUGGAAAGAUGGAUGAACUUAUGAAGUUGUUUGCUGCUAAAAAUACUCCUCUUGAUCCCAAUGAUAUGCCUUUGUCUACUUUGAUUGAGAAUAAUAAUGAACCUAUGGAUGUGAAUUUUGUUGGUAGGAAUAGUUUUGGUAACAAUGCUUAUAGAGGAAACUUUAAUUCUAGACCGUUCCCUAGUAAUUCCUCUAAUAAUUAUGGAAAUUCCUAUAAUAAUUCUUAUGGUAAUUUUAAUAAGAUGCCCUCUGAUUUUGAGAAUAGUGUGAAAGAAUUUAUGAUUUCUCAAAAGAAUUUUAAUGCUUUGCUUGAAGAAAAAUUGCUCAAAGUUGAUGAUUUGGCUAGGAACGUUGAUAGACUUUCGCUUGAUGUUGAUUAUCUUAAACUUAGAUCUACUCCUCCUAAGAAUGAUAUCAAUGAGUCUCUCAAAGCAAUGAGAAUUUCUUUGUAAGAACCGCUAGAUUGCGUGCUAUGAAAGAUUGCUUUGUAAGGGCGUGUUCUUCUAGUUUCAAUGGAAAUAAUGAUGAAGAUCUUAAAGUUAUUGAUGUGUCUCCAAUUAGAUCUUUGUUUUGCAAUAUGAAUCUUGGUAAUAAUGGGACUGGAGAUGAGUCAACUUUAGCUAGAAGGCGUCCCAAGAAUUCGGAGUUUUUAGAUCUUGAUGCUAAAUUUUGUAAAAGUGGGAUUGGAGAGGUCAUAACUUUAAAUAGCAUUGAACCCACUAUCUCGGAUUUCAAGGAAUUUGAUUAUGAUAAUUGUUCUUUAGAAGGUUGUAUUUCCUUGUUGCAAUCCGUUGUUAAUUCUCCUCAUGCUUAUAGUCAAAAUAAAGCUUUUACCAAACAUAUUGUUGAUGCCUUGAUGCAAUCUUAUGAUGAAAAACUUAAUUUGGAAGUUUCUAUACCUAGAAAACUUAAUGAUGAGUGGGAACCUACUAUAAAGAUUAGAAUUAAAGAUCAUGAGUGUUAUGCUUUGUGUGAUUUGGGUGCUAGUGUUUCCACAAUUCCGAAAACUUUAUGUGAUAUUCUAGGUUUCCAUGAUCUUGAUGAUUGCUCUUUAAAUUUGUACCUUGCGGAUUCCACCAUUAAAAAGCCAAUUGGAAGGAUCAAUGAUGUUCACAUUGUUGGAAAUAGAAAUUUGGUGCCCGUAGAUUUUAUCGUUCUUGAUAUAGAUUGCAAUCUUUCUUGCCCUAUUAUUCUUGGUAGACCUUUCCUUAGAACGAUUAGUGCGAUUAUUGAUAUGAAGGAAGAGAAUAUUAGAUUCCAAUUUACAUUAAGGAAAUGCAUGGAGCACUUUCCAAGAAAGAAAGUCAAAUUACCUUAUGAAUCUAUCAUGCGAGCUACUUAUGAAUUGAGUGCCAAAGAUGGCACCACUUAGAUCUAUCUUUGUUUUUAUGCCUACCUAGGGGCGUUAAACGAUAGCGCUAGUUGGGAGGCAACCCAAUUUUAUUUGUGUUUUUUUUGUUUUUGUUCCUGUUUAGUAAUAAAUUUUGCAUCUACCUUUUGUUUAGAUGUGUUUUUAUGUUUUAAUUACUGUUUGUGCCAAGUAGAACCUAUAGGAUAACCUAUGAUGAUAGUUGAUUUGAUUCUGCUGAAAAACAGAAACUUUGUGCACACGAAAUUAGUUUUGUUAAAUCACAAAAACGUGAUUUUGCGUUUAUUCAUUUUGCUGCUGAUCAAUAUACACAUUUUAUAGGACUUCCUAUUUUGGUAGGAUUUUUAGAGUUACAUAAGUGUGCGUUAGUUACAGAUUGCUACACACUGUUCUGUUUUUGACAGAUUCUGUUUUUCGUGUGUUGUGUGCUUAUUUUCAUGCAUCUAUGGCUAGUAUUAAGUGGUAUGAACCAUAGAGGACUUGGAAUACAGUAGGUUUAACACCAAAAUAAAUAAAGAAUAAGUUCAUUACAGUACCUUAUGUGGUGGUUUUGUUUUCUUUCACUAACGGAGCUUAUAAGAUUUCCUGUUGAGUUUUGUGUUGUGAAAUUUUCGAGUUUUGGGUAAAGCUUUGAUGCACUAUGGAAUAAGGAGUGGAAAGAGCCUAAGCUUGGGGAUGCCCAAGUCACCCCAAGAUAUUCAAGAAUAGCCAAAAGCCUAAGCUUGGGGAUGCCCCCGGAAGGCAUCCCCUCUUUCGUCUUCGUUCAUUGGUAACUUUACUUGGAGCUAUAUUUUUAUUCGAUACAUGAUAUGUGUUUUGCUUGGAGCGUCAUGUAUUAUAUUAGUCUUUGCUUUUUAGUUUACCACAAUCAUCCUUGUUGUACACACCUUUUGGGAUAAGCCCACUUGAUUAGAAUUUGCUAGAAUACUCUAUGUGCUUCACUUAUAUCUUUUGAGCUUGAUAGUUUUGGCUCUAGUGCUUCAAUUAUAUCUUUUAGAGCGCGGCGGUGGCUUAAUUUUGAAGAAAUUGCUAGUCUCUCAUGCUUCACUUAUAUUAUUUUGAGAGUCUUUUAGAACAACAUGGUAUUUUCUAUGGUUAUAAAAUUGGUCAUAGAAUGGUAGGCAUCCAAGUUGGGUAUAAUAAAAACUAUCAUAGGAAGUGAAUUGGAUGCUAUGAUCAAUUUGAUGCUUGAUAAUUGUUUUGAGACAUAGAGGUAGUAAUGUUAGAGUCAUGCUAGUGGGCAAUUAUGAAAUUUAGAAAUACUUGUGUUGAAGUUGGCAAGUCCCGUAACAUGCACGCAUGGUAAAAGUUGUGUGACAAAUUUGUUGCAUGAGGUGCUCUUUUAAUUGCCUUCCUUAUGAGUGGAGGUCGGGAUCGCGCGAUGGUUAACUCCUACCAACCCUUCCCCUAGGAGCAUGCGUAGUAGUACUUUGCUUCGAGGGCAAGUAGACUUUUGCAAUAAGCAUAUGAGUUCUUUAUGACUAAUGUGAGUCCAUGGAUAUACGCACACUCACCCUUCCACUUUGCUAGCCUCUAUUAUACCGCGCAACUUUCACCGGUAUCAUGCACCCAUUAUUUACCUUCCUCAAAACAGCCACCAUACCUACCUAUUAUGACAUUUCCAUAGCCAUUCCGAGAUAUAUUGCCAUGCAACUUUCCACCGUUCUGUUUAUUAUGACACACUUCAUCAUUGUCAUAUUGCUCUUUGCAUGAUCAUGUAGUUGACAUCAUAUUUGUGGCAAGGCCACUUCCAUAAUUUUCAUACAUGCCGCUCUUGAUUCAUUGCAUAUCCCGGUACCCCACCGGAGGCAUUCAUAUAGAGUCAUAUUAUGUUCUAGUUUUGAGUUGUAAUUCUUGAGUUGUAAAUCAAUAAAAGUGUGAUGAUCUUCAUUAUAAGAGCAUUGUCCUAGUGAGGAAAGGAUGAUGAAGACUAUGAUUCCCCCACAAGUCGGGAUGAGACUUCGGACUUUAAAAAUAAAAUAGAAAAAAAAGAGAAAGGCCAAAGAAAAAAAAGAGAAAGGCCAAAGGGAAAAAAGAACGAAAAAAAGAAAAAAAGAAAA
Molecule: long non-coding RNA, 38025 nt
Filed under: Triticum aestivum (bread wheat)
Lineage: Eukaryota; Viridiplantae; Streptophyta; Magnoliopsida; Poales; Poaceae
Description: long non-coding RNA (TAES_LNC022074)
Rfam family: MIR1120/MIR1122 microRNA precursor family (bases 1651-1737)
Source: RNAcentral